AGAGGGUUCGAUUAUGGCUCAGAUUGAACGCUGGCGGGAUGCUUUUGCACAUGCAAGUCGAACGGCAGCACGACUUCGGUCUGGUGGCGAGUGGCGAACGUAAGAGUAAUGUAUCGAACGUGCCUAGUAGCGGGGAUAACUACGCGAAAGCGUAGCUACUACUGUACGCGCCCUUCGGGGAAAGCGGGGACCUUUCGGGCCUCGCACUAUUAGAGCGGCCGAUAUCGGAUUAGCUAGCUGGUGGGUAAACGGCUCACCAUGGCGACGAUCCGCAGCUGGUUUGAGAGGACGACCAGCCACACUGGCCGUGUUCAGUCCCAGUGUGGCUGGUCGUCCCAGCCAGCACCCCACCAAUUCAGCUAAUACCGCAUACGCCCUUCGGGGGAGCGGGGACCUUCGCCUCGCACUAGAGCGGCCGAUAUCGGAUUAGCCAGUUGGUGGGGUAACGGCUCACCAAGGCGACGAUCCGUAGCCGGUUUGGGAGGACGACCAGCCACACUGGGACUGAGACACGGCCCAGACUCCUACGGAGGCAGCAGUGGGGAAUUUGACAAUGGGGAACCCCGAUCCAGCCAUCCCGCGUGUGCGAUGAAGGCCUUCGGGUUGUAAAGCACUUUGGCAGGAAAGAAACGGCACGGGAUAAUACCCCGUAACUGACGGUACCCGCAGAAUAAGCACCGGCUAACUACGCGCCAGCAGCCGCGGUAAUACGUAGGUGCAAGCGUUAAUCGGAAUUACUGGGCGUAAAGCGCGCAGGCGGUUCGGAAAGAAAGAUGAAAUCCCAGAGCUUAACUUUGGAACUGCAUUUUUAACUACUGAGCUAGAGGUGUCAGAGGGAGGUGGAAUUUGGCGUGUGUGCAGUGAAAUGCGUAGAUAUGCGGAGGAACACCGAUGGCGAAGGCAGCCCUCCUGGGAUAACACUGACGCUCAUGCACGAAAGCGUGGGGAGCAAACAGGAUUAGAUACCCUGGUAGUCCACGCCCUAAACGAUGUCAACUAGCUGUUGGGGCCUUCGGGCCUUGGUAGCGCAGCUAACGCGUGAAGUUGACCGCCUGGGGAGUACGGUCGCAAGAUUAAAAACUCAAAGCGGGAAUUGACGGGGACCCGCACAAGCGGUGGAUGAGGGAUUAAUUCCGAUGCAACGCGAAAACCUUACCUACCUCCUUGACAUGUCUGGAAUCCCGAAGAGAUUUGGGAGUGCUCGCAAGAGAACCGGAACACAGGUGCUGCAUGGCUGUCGUCAGCUCGUGUCGGGAGAUGUUGGGUUAAGUCCCGCAACGAGCGCAACCCUUGUCAUUAGUUGCUACGAAAAGGCACCUAAUGACUGCCGGUGACAAACCGGAGGAAGGUGGGGAUGACGUCAAGUCCUCAUGGCCCUUAAUGGGCAGGGCUUCACACGUCAUACAAUGGUCGGGACAGAGGGUCGCCAACCCGCGAGAGGGGGAGCCAAUCCCAGAAACCCGAUCGUAGUCCGGAUCGCAGUCUGCAACUCGACUGCGUGAAGUCGGAAUCGCUAGUAAUCGCGGAUCAGCAUGUCGCGGUGAAUACGUUCCCGGGUCUUGUACACACUGCCCGUCACACCAUGGGAGUGGGUUUUUACCAGAAGUAGUUAGCCUAACCGUAAGGAGGGCGAUUACCACGGUAGGAUUCAUGACUGGGGUGAAGUCGUAACAAGGUAA
This 1679-nucleotide ribosomal RNA is filed under the name uncultured Bordetella sp. RNAcentral describes it as "partial 16S-23S ribosomal RNA intergenic spacer". It matches the Rfam family "Bacterial small subunit ribosomal RNA". Lineage: Bacteria; Pseudomonadati; Pseudomonadota; Betaproteobacteria; Burkholderiales; Alcaligenaceae. The record is from RNAcentral.